Molecule: non-coding RNA, 71 nt
Organism: Mycena olivaceomarginata
Lineage: Eukaryota; Fungi; Basidiomycota; Agaricomycetes; Agaricales; Mycenaceae
Source: the annotation of a GenBank genome assembly
AUAAGAUUAGUUUAAUGGUAAAACGACAUCUUGUGGCGAUGUUAAUCAGAGUUCAAAUCUCUGAUUUUAUC